UGGCUAUGACUGGGUGUUGAUUGAUGU
This 27-nucleotide non-coding RNA is filed under the name Homo sapiens (human). Lineage: Eukaryota; Metazoa; Chordata; Mammalia; Primates; Hominidae. The record is from RNAcentral.